CAACCUCAACUCAUAUGGGACUACCCCCUGAAUUUAAGCAUAUUAAUUAGGGGAGGAAAAGAAACUAACAAGGAUUUUCUUAGUAGCGGCGAGCGAAAAGAAAUCAGUUCAGCACUAAGUCACUUUGUCUAUAUGGCAAAUGUGAGAUGCAGUGUACGGAACAUCAACAUUCUAGUAUGAGAAGUUAACGAUUUAAGUCCUUCUUAAAUGAGGCCAUUUACCCAUAGAGGGUGCCAGGCCCGUAUAACGUUAAUGAUUACUAGAUGGUGUUUCCAAAGAGUCGUGUUGCUUGAUAGUGCAGCACUAAGUGGGUGGUAAACUCCAUCUAAAACUAAAUAUAACCAUGAGACCGAUAGUAAACAAGUACCGUGAGGGAAAGUUGAAAAGAACUCUGAAUAGAGAGUUAAAUAGUACGUGAAACUGCUUAGAGGUUAAGCCCGAUGAACCUGAAUAUCCGUUAUGGAAAAUUCAUCAUUAGAAUUGUAAUAUUUUAAACAAUAUUAUAAUAAUAGUGUGCAUUUUUUCCAUAUAAGGACAUUGUAAUCUAUUAGCAUAAAUAUUUAUCAUAAAAUUAUGUCUGAUUGCUUAUUUGAAUUAUAUGCUUGGCAUUUUAACAUAAAAUAAAAGAUAUAAAUUUGAUAAAGUGCUGAUAGAUUUAUAUGAUUACAGUGCGUUAAUUUUUCGGAAUUAUAUAAUGGCAUAAUUAUCAUUGAUAUUUGUGUUUAUUAUAUGCAUUUGU
RNAcentral lists this non-coding RNA (739 nucleotides) under Drosophila virilis. Its description in RNAcentral is "Eukaryotic large subunit ribosomal RNA". It matches the Rfam family "Eukaryotic large subunit ribosomal RNA", at positions 1 to 631 of the family's 3401-position model. Lineage: Eukaryota; Metazoa; Arthropoda; Insecta; Diptera; Drosophilidae. The record is from Rfam by way of RNAcentral.